GAUGAACGCUGGCGGCGUGCCUAAUACAUGCAAGUCGAGCGAAUGGAUUAAGAGCUUGCUCUUAUGAAGUUAGCGGCGGACGGGUGAGUAACACGUGGGUAACCUGCCCAUAAGACUGGGAUAACUCCGGGAAACCGGGGCUAAUACCGGAUAACAUUUUGAACCGCAUGGUUCGAAAUUGAAAGGCGGCUUCGGCUGUCACUUAUGGAUGGACCCGCGUCGCAUUAGCUAGUUGGUGAGGUAACGGCUCACCAAGGCAACGAUGCGUAGCCGACCUGAGAGGGUGAUCGGCGACACUGGGACUGGGACACGGCCCAGACGCCUACGGGAGGCAGCAGUAGGGAAUCUUCCGCAAUGGACGAAAGUCUGACGGAGCAACGCCGCGUGAGUGAUGAAGGCUUUCGGGUCGUAAAACUCUGUUGUUAGGGAAGAACAAGUGCUAGUUGAAUAAGCUGGCACCUUGACGGUACCUAACCAGAAAGCCACGGCUAACUACGUGCCAGCCGCCGCAGUAA
RNAcentral lists this ribosomal RNA (515 nucleotides) under uncultured bacterium. RNAcentral's name for it is "partial 16S ribosomal RNA". It matches the Rfam family "Bacterial small subunit ribosomal RNA", at positions 28 to 523 of the family's 1533-position model. The record is from RNAcentral.